UACAAAGACUCUUCUCUGCUCAACUGACCAGGAUGCUAUUAGGCCUCUGAAUAAGCAUUUGGUUUUUUGCAUAUUUCUAUGAAAAUCCACACUCCAUGAUAUUGUAUGUAAUUAUAUUUUCAAGAGAAAAAUACUUUCGUGUUCAGUCAACCAAACAAGAGUGGUUCAUUUCACUAGCAAUCGCAAAAGCAUAAUAGAAUUUUUCUCAGAGGUGCCCAUGUUUCUCCUGAUUCUAGGUCCUGGAAGGAAUAGCAAUCGUCAAUCUAUCAAGAAAACUGUCAGCACACCUUCCUUCAACUUGUGCUUCUCUUUGGAACUUUAAGGAAACAUCUCAGCCCCACAUUCCAUAAGGGUUUAAUCAUCUUCAGAAUAGUACAGAAGGUGCAGGUAGAGCAACUGAUGGCAGACGGUCUUUGGUUUGAGGGAUGAAAAUCUGCAAACUGACCAUUACUUAAACGUUCCUCGAUGGAUGACCAAGGAAUCGAUGGAUUCCAAAUCCACCACUUCUGAUCUUAGAAAGAAGGGAGGAUUUUCAGAUGGUAG
Molecule: long non-coding RNA, 543 nt
Organism: Populus euphratica (Euphrates poplar)
Lineage: Eukaryota; Viridiplantae; Streptophyta; Magnoliopsida; Malpighiales; Salicaceae
Exons: 4
Source: RefSeq, a predicted model, not a curated record